AUUUUUGUUCAUAUAAUACUCCGAUUCCUACAGAGCACAUCCACCAUCCGAUUACAGCUGAUCUGAACGGCUGUGGCACAUAAAAAAAGGAAGAGAAUUCUGCGGUUUUAUUCAGCGGAGUUGAAUGAUGGCGAGUUAGAAGGUCAUCAUUAUUUUCUGCUGGCUCUGCGAUACAAUCAUGUAAGCCAAAUGUGCAGGAUUCGUUUGCUGAAUUAGAAAUUACAUUGAACCCCGCAGCGAACUGGAACUUGAGAUGGCUUUAUGAGUCAGACUUUUGACGGUUUUAAGAAUCUUUUUGGAGUAUUAAAACAACUCACUGAGGGCUUCGACGCGAAAAGGAAUCUGCCCCAAUUCCAAUUUGAAAUAUUUAUAAUAGGUCUUUAGCGGAACCUUGCUUAUCAGCCCCUGUCACAGGAAAAGUUGUGGAGCAGCCCGGUGGAUCAAAAGUGUUACAGCCAACUGUUCUCAAUAGUACUAAGUGCUCUGGAGUACUCCCUUCAUCAGAAAGUCGGAGUUAAAAUGUUCAAAGUGUUUGUUACGGAACUGCAUCUUUCCCGGAGGGCAGCGCUGGCUAGCCACGGAGUCCCAGGGCGGAGUACCCCUUAUGCCCUGCAGUCCGAACAAUCGAUUCCGACUCAUCGGACGUCUCACGUCACUUACUUGACGAUUUACCAUCUCUACCACAAAGCAAAACAAAACAAAGCUAUAUUUGCAUCAAAACAUUGACAAUUGGACGAAAUUGGUGGCUUUGAUGUCCUUGCCACGACGCACCCACCCAACCUUGGGUGCCCCAAAAAGGAUGUAGGAGGCACGCCCCAUCUCCGGCAGACCGGAGUCUAUUCCUCGGCUCAUUUCCCCGCCCAAGAAACACUCAAGGCCGAUCUCAGACCGUCGCCCAGAUGAAAAGCGGUCAAAGCGGCAACAACCGAAGGGAAAUUUUUAGACGCUUAAUACUGCAAGUGUCAGGCAAAAAUCGCCGCACGGCACUAAAUUGGAGGCGUUUGCCAACCGGGUCGCCUAAUCCUGAGGAGCUCCAAGGGAAAAGAAGGGACGUGCUGAAAAUUUAAGUACGCUAAAUAAAUCCCACAAGUCAUUAAAUUUCGCGACCCAAUUUAUAGGUAGUUGGACGCGCGGCCAGGGUUCGGAAUUAAGCCUCUAAUUUUAGAUUAGAUUUCACACUUAUUUAUUGCAGAGUUCCUCGUCGGAUGUGGUUGAAACUGCAGCCAGAAUGGAAAAAUCUCUAGCGGCGAAAACCAGCGCGAGUCCGCACGGAGCCAAUUGGUCCGGAGGAUGGCGCAGCGUCCGCGUAAGAGGGGCCGGAGGCAGUGCGUCGGUGGACUUGGAGAUGACCACGUGGCCAGCGCGGGCAUUCGUUCCCGGAACGGACUCACCGAGGGAAUCUCCGUGUCUGGCCGUCUCGGAGGCGGUCGCUGUAGCUGCUGGCGCUGGAGGCUGCUGCUGCUGCUCCUGAUCGCUGCUGCGGCUGAUGCUGCUGCGGCUGAUGCUGCUGCGGCUGAUGCUGCUGCGGCUGAUGCUGCUGCGGCUGAUGCUGCUGCGGCCAAUGCUGCUGCGGCUAAUGCUGCGGCCAAUGCUGCUGCGGCUAAUGGACGACGACCAGGUUAGGUCCGCCUGCAACUAAAGCAAAACCCUGACCUACACCAAAGGCGUUCGCCAUUUUCCCUCCCGCUCUCUCAAGAUGGGUCAGCGAACGUAUUCAAGGCUAUUUAACCCAGUUAACGAGCGAACCGGGCUAAAUUUAAAUAGCUAAAUCCUCUCCCGCUAUCAAUAGUAGAUGUCACCACCGAAUCUUAUCGAUAGCGGGACCUGCUGACGUAUCGGUUCGUUUUAGUAUUUUCCAGACGGCUCCAACUGAAAAUGCAACAUGUUCAAGGUGUUGGUGGUGAGAAAACAUUUCAGUUGUUACCCAUAGGAAACAAUUAUUUGUUUCUCGGUUUACCCUAGCAACCACAUCUGAUGAUGUUAUGAAAAUAAUUCAAGAAAAGCACCCAUCUACAAAUAUUACAGUUGAAAAAAUUAAAUUUUCAUACGCUCGCAAGAUAUCCUAUUUUAAAAUAUCUUUUUAAGUUCUAAAUAAUACAAGUUUAUGGCUUGAUGAUGAACUAUUAAUAAAAGAAUUUGUUCCUAACAAACAAAUAAAUAAUAAUUAGUCUCCGAUUUAAGAGUCUGUUCCAUAGAACUGAACGCUUGUGUAUUUCUAACAUAUAAAAAUGUAAGGGGAUUUAAUAUGAAGUUACCUAGGAUGUUCGGUGACUCCUCUGCCUUUAAUGAACAUAUUUUAGUCUUCAUAGAAACUUGGCUGAAACCGGAGAUUUCAAACAACUGAUAACACUUAUAGAACCGAUCGCGUUUCUCUUAGGGGAGGUGGUUCUGUUAUUAUAUCCCCCCUAGAUCUGACAUCAUUUGUCUGUUAAAUCUGUUGAAUCUCUACUUUCUGACAGUGAUAAUUUGAUUGUUUUUAAUCUCCCAGGUAUAUCUUGGUCCUCUCCAAGUGGCUCAAAAAACUCCGCCUUUCCUUCAUUAGCAUGAAUUCUCAAUUAAGGUUUUUACUGACUCAUCUUUUUGUAAACUAUAUACUAUCUGGAACAAUUCUUUUAUUAUUCUACUCCAUAAAAAGGGAGGAAAGUCAAAUAUUCAAAAGUAUAGUGGUA
Long non-coding RNA from Drosophila gunungcola (fruit fly), 2669 nucleotides. RefSeq lists it as uncharacterized. The record is from RefSeq and is a predicted model, not a curated record. The transcript has 6 exons. Lineage: Eukaryota; Metazoa; Arthropoda; Insecta; Diptera; Drosophilidae.